UUCAAGUAAUUCAGGUG
Molecule: microRNA, 17 nt
Filed under: Pan troglodytes (chimpanzee)
Lineage: Eukaryota; Metazoa; Chordata; Mammalia; Primates; Hominidae
Also listed under: 1 other name
Description: ptr-miR-1297
Source: miRBase by way of RNAcentral